This 2263-nucleotide long non-coding RNA is filed under the name Cyanistes caeruleus (blue tit). RNAcentral's name for it is "lncRNA (ENSCCEG00000009313.1)". Lineage: Eukaryota; Metazoa; Chordata; Aves; Passeriformes; Paridae. The record is from RNAcentral.
AAGCAAUUAAAAUAAGAAUUAUCAAAAAACACAUGCAUGGCUGAAGAAAUUAUUUAACCUUAAAUUUUUUAAAUUUAGGUGUUUUUUUUUUAGUCCAUAAUCUCUAGCAAGAAUACAACACUAUCCCUUACUGAGGUCUGGGUUCUUAAAGGCAAUUAUUAUACUCAAAUGUCUAAACCCUGGUCCUGAGCUUGUACUGUGGUCUUCCAAGGCAGGUACAGAAAACUGAAGAAUCAGGAGACAGCCUCAUGCUGGUGGACACUGGUUACAGGUGACCAAUCAGACUAUAAUCAGGCAGAACAUCAUCUCUAAAAUUGGUAUCAACUGACCUGAAUGAAAAAAGACUCAAUUAUUGUUCCAUGACCCAUAAACAGAAGAUCUUAUAAUUGCAUAUUAAAAAUGUUACACAUUUCAGCCUUCUCAUGCAGACAAAACUGUGCUGAAUGCAUGAUGGUGGUCAAAGAUACCUUAUUAAAACAAAACCAGACUAGUACUGAAGAAAGUAAUAGUUACUUAACAGUGAGUACAGUAAACAUGUGACAUUAAAGUGAAGUGUAGGUUCACUGCCAUGCAGUAACUGUGGAUAUCUGUAUAUCUCUUUCUAUGCUUUUCUAAAGUAACCCUAAGUUCUAUAAAUGAUACAGAUGAAGAAGGAUGUGUAGGAUAUGUCCCACUGAUCUGCUUAAGGUGCCUAAUAUGCAAUGACAUCAAGCAGCACGUGCUACAUAGCAGUAACUCCUGCAGGCAAUCAGGACUGAUCCCACCAUUCAUCCCUCAGCUGCCUCCUGGCUUGUUUUUUAGGUGCCUCAGCCCUGGACCCUGUGUGCCAUUGGAGGGACAUGUGUGACAACAGCCAGCCUUGGUCUCAGGAAGGAACCCAGCAACCUCCCCUUGAAGCAUCCUCAGCAGUCAGCCUCAUAGACAGGUGGAUGUUGUUCCUGCUCCCUUUCUGGACGCUGGACACACAGUACUGAGUCAUUCAAAUGAUACAUGCAAGCCUCCUCUUGGCAGUGGAUCUGAAGAUCUAUUUUGAUUCUUCCCAGAAGCCACAAAGAGAAUACUCCACCAGACUUAACUUCAACACUUUAUCCAAGAAAAUAUUAAAAAUAACAGAAACAGAAGCUUUAUAUGGUGCCCCUUGGAGCUGUAAUCAAGCCGUUCCUAAUAACUUCAAGAAAGAGCUGGAAACUGCUUGCCACAGUGCCUGGAAGCUGUGCACUGCCAAUCAUCUCUCCUAAUUUAAUGCUAGAAUCAUCCAACUCUCCAGCAUGGAAGGGACACAUCAGCAAUGUGUUGUCAUUAGGGCACAACAAAAAAUUUAGAUCUCUAGAUAUUUAUACUUGGUUACAGUUGCACAAAAAAAUACUCUGAUUGACAUUUGCAAUGACUGUUAUCUCAGUCUAUUAAAAAGAGCAAAAACCCUCUCCUCCCAAAUAGGGAGCCUAAGCAAUACAGGUAUUACAAAGAUAAAGCCAUGAAACAAUUAUAUCAUUCUACUAACAGGUUCCUUUUCCUAUUAAAGAGAGCCUGUUUGAAUAGAGAAAUUUAAGUGAUGAAAUAUCUUCAAUUCCCCAUAAAAAUCUGCUAAAAUGUUGAAAUUAUUCAGUUUUCACAGAAUUGUCCUUAGAUUUUUGCAUAAUUCCUAUGAGGUUCUGGCCAUCUUUAGCACAGAGCUUGCCUUCCCCUGUAAGCAAAUACCUGUGAAACUCAUUAAGUGAGUCUGCAUCUGUCACAUCUGUCUAGCAUGCUAAUUUUCAUAAUAGAUGACAACUACAGGUACCUGUAGUUCUUUUGUAUUAAUUUAUGUGAUCCACAGAGUGGACCUAAAUUUUCUACCUUUUAAACCCUGCAUAAAAUGCAAGAAGAGUCUUAUAGUUAAAGCAAUUACUUGGUGACCUAGGCAGCAGAGAACUUCCAUGGGAAUACAAUUCUCUGAUUGUACUUAAGUCAGAGAAACUCAGAGAACAGUUCCAACUACACAUUUCUCAUUUUCUAACUGUCUAACUUGAGUCUGUAGGGUCUGAUUUAUUAAAGUGCAAAUGCAGUCAACAGAAACUGUGCUUUGAAUGUAAAAAAUGAAAUAUAAACACUCUUCAAAAUGAGAUACUACAUUUGUUAUACUGGACACUGAGAAUUUAUAGAAACUCUUGAAUUUAAUCAAUCAAAGGGCAACAAACCUUAUUUAAUCCACUGGACAUAGUAUUCUGUUUAUUUUACAGGACCUUAUGGAAAUAAAAAUUCACAGUUUUAUGUGAAAAAGACA